UUGAACGCUGGCGGUAUGCUUUACACAUGCAAGUCGAACGGGCUAUGGGGCUUGCUCCAUAGUUAGUGGCGAACGGGUGAGUAAUAUAUCGGAACAUAUCCUGUCGUGGGGGAUAACUAAUCGAAAGGUUAGCUAAUACCGCAUACGACCUGAGGGAGAAAGCGGGGGCUCGCAAGACCUCGCGCGAUUGGAGUGGCCGAUAUCUGAUUAGCUAGAUGGUGAGGUAAAGGCUCACCAUGGCGACGAUCAGUAGCUGGUCUGAGAGGAUGAUCAGCCACACUGGGACUGAGACACGGCCCAGACUCCUACGGGAGGCAGCAGUGGGGAAUUUUGGACAAUGGGCGCAAGCCUGAUCCAGCCAUGCCGCGUGAGUGAAGAAGGCCUUCGGGUUGUAAAGCUCUUUCAGACGGAAAGAAAUCGGGCGCGUGAAUAGCGUGCCUGGAUGACGGUACUGUCAGAAGAAGCACCGGCUAACUACGU
Molecule: ribosomal RNA, 480 nt
Filed under: uncultured bacterium
Lineage: Bacteria
Description: bacterial SSU rRNA
Rfam family: Bacterial small subunit ribosomal RNA
Source: RNAcentral